Long non-coding RNA from Dreissena polymorpha, 2443 nucleotides. RefSeq lists it as uncharacterized. The transcript is spliced from 3 exons. The record is from RefSeq and is a predicted model, not a curated record. Lineage: Eukaryota; Metazoa; Mollusca; Bivalvia; Myida; Dreissenidae.
GACUGCCCCAGAUUGUCCUCUCAGCGGCCAAAUAUCAUAAUAGAACGGACUUUUGGCAAUGUUACUGACACAGAAAGGCAAUAAUGACUUGGUUGUCAAUACCCAGAGCACGAUACAUCCAUGCUGACAAAGAAAGGCAGUAAUGACUUGGUUGUGAACACCCAGAGCGCCAUACAUCCAUGCUGACACAGUAAGGCAGUAAUGACUUGGUUGUGAACACCCAGAGCACAAUACAUCCAUGCUGACACAGAAAGGCAGUAAUGACUUGGUUGUGAACACCCAGAGCACAAUACAUCCAUGCUGACACAGAAAGGCAGUAUGACUUGGCUGUGAACACAGAACACAAUACACCCAUGCUGACACAGAAAGGCAGUAAUGACUUGGUUGUGAACACCCAGAGCAAGAUAUUUCCAUGCUGACACAGAAAGGCAGUAAUGACUAUGCUGUGAACACCUUGAGCAAGAUAUAUCCUUGCUAACACAGAAAGGCAGUAAUGACUAUGCUGUGAACACCCGGAGCAUAAUACAUCCAUGCUGACACAGAAAGUUAGUAAUGACUAUGCUGUAUACACCCGGAACACAAUACAUCCAUGCUGACACAGAAAGGCAGUAAUGACUUGGUUGUGAACACCCAGAGCACAAUACAUCCAUGCUGACAAAGAAAGGCAGUAAUGACUUGGCUAUGAACACAUAACACGAUACACCCAUGCUGACACAGAAAGGCAGUAAUGACUUGGCUGUGAACACAGAGCGCAAUACAUCCAUGCUGAAACAGAAAGGCAGUCAUGACUAUGCUGUGAACACCCAGAGCACGAUAUAUCCACGCAUACGCAGAAAGGCAGUAAUGACUAUGCUGUGAACACCCAGAGCAAGAUAUAUCCAUGCUGACACAGAAAGGCAGUAAUGGCUAUGCUGUGAACACCCAGAGCAAGAUAUAUGGAUGCUGACACAGAAAGGCAGUAAUAACUAUGCUGUGAACACUCAGAGCACAAUACAUUCAUGGUGACACAGAAAGGCAGUAAUGACUUGGUUGUGAACACCCAGAGCAAGAUAUAUCCAUGCUGACACAGAAAGGCAGUAAUGACUUGGCUGUGAACACAGAACACGAUGCACCCAUGCUGACACAGAAAGGCAGAUAUGACUUGGCUGUGAACACAGAGCACAAUACUUCCAUGCUGACACAGAAAGGCAGUUAUGACUUGGUUGUGAACACAGAGCACAAUACAUCCUUGUUGACAUAGAAAGGUAGUAAUGACUUUGCUGUGAACUCAGAGCACGAUACAUCCAUGCUGACAGAGAAAGGCAGUAAUGACUUUGCUGUGAACUCAGAGCACAAUAUAUCCAUGCUGACACAGAAAGGCAGUAAUGACUUGGAUGUAAAUACCCAGAGCACAAUACAUCCAUGCUGACACAGAAAGGCAGUAAUGACUUUGCUGUGAACUCAGAGCACGAUACAUCCAUGCUGAGACAGAAAGGCAGUAAUGACUUGGAUGUAAACACCCAGAGCACAAUACAUCCAUGCUGACACAGAAAGGCAGUAAUGACUUUGUUGUAAACACUAAGAGAUCCAUACAUCCAUGGGGUGUGAAACAGACGCAAAUUACGCCCACUAUUUUGAACAAGGUGCUUAAAGUGAACACGUCUAGUUUCUGUUAUGAGCACUUAGCACUCCGAGUCCAAAAGGCCUCGCAUUGAAUUGAUGUGAGAGAAGGCUUUGAAAAAUAACAGCAGUUUUGUUGUGUGGUCCAAUACGCCCUUCGACUCUCAACCUGAAGAAAUCAAAACUCAAACUCGUCUCUUAGCAAUAUCAGCAAGGCCAGCAUGUCAUCUCAGCUUCUUGAACUUCAGUGAACUUAACUAGCAAACAUGACAAACGUCAUUGAAGUGAAAGUCGAUGACAACCCCCUUCUUGCACAAAUACUACAAUUGCUUAAGAAAUUCAGCACGAAGACGUCUUGCGUCAGACUACCAAGCCUCCUAUUAAUAUCUUCUCCCAUGUUGGCUACAUCAACACUUCCAACAGCAGAGCCUUGGUGAGUUCGACUUCCGUCUCGGCAUCGAUGUCGCUUAGCAACAAUUGGAUGAUGGGCGUCGACAAAUUAGGCCGGACAAGUCGCUCAAACUGAAAUGAUCUGAUCCAACAGGUAGAGCAGGCGUUGCGUGACACGUCCGUUAAUGUGACUGACCUCGAUAUGUUGUUCUCGAAUAAUGUGAACCUUAGGCCUGGAGAGCAGUAUGCGAUUGACGCCAUUCAACAACAGUUGUUCUUGGCAAUUCUCAAGUUUGGGGUGGCGACUUCAGCGUCAGGACUUGCUCCAUCUCUGUCUAUGGCCCAGUCGCAGCAGCAGCAGCAACAAGAACAAUAAGUAGUAUCUUAGCGGUGUUCUGGGAUAUGCGGCUUCAUCCUGUUCCUACAGGAACCCAUGCAAUCAUAGAUCGGUACC